Molecule: long non-coding RNA, 260 nt
Filed under: Ananas comosus (pineapple)
Lineage: Eukaryota; Viridiplantae; Streptophyta; Magnoliopsida; Poales; Bromeliaceae
Description: long non-coding RNA (ACOM_LNC033571)
Source: RNAcentral
AGUGCCUGUCAGCACGGGCCGUAUUCACCGUGCCGUACCGUGCCAACAAGAUACCGGCACGAUACAAACCCCGUACCGAUGGUAUAGCUCAAAACCCUUUAUUUUUUAAAUUAGUAAAUAAUUUUCUCAAUAAAGUUCAAAAGGUGUGAUAAAAAUAUAUAAUAAAUAGUUAGAAUAUUUUGUUGCUAAAGAAAAAAAAUAUUUUAUGCUAUUAUGUGUUGGCUAAUAAGAAUUUUUUUGACCGGCACGCAUCGGCAUGG